This 447-nucleotide ribosomal RNA is filed under the name uncultured bacterium. RNAcentral describes it as "partial 16S ribosomal RNA". It matches the Rfam family "Bacterial small subunit ribosomal RNA", at positions 29 to 523 of the family's 1533-position model. The record is from RNAcentral.
AACGAACGCUGGCGGCAGGCUUAACACAUGCAAGUCGAGCGCCCCGCAAGGGGAGCGGCAGACGGGUGAGUAACGCGUGGGAAUCUACCCAUCUCUACGGAAUAACUCAGGGAAACUUGUGCUAAUACCGUAUACGCCCUUAGGGGGAAAGAUUUAUCGGAGAUGGAUGAGCCCGCGUUGGAUUAGCUAGUUGGUGGGGUAAAGGCCUACCAAGGCGACGAUCCAUAGCUGGUCUGAGAGGAUGAUCAGCCACAUUGGGACUGAGACACGGCCCAAACUCCUACGGGAGGCAGCAGUGGGGAAUAUUGGACAAUGGGCGCAAGCCUGAUCCAGCCAUGCCGCGUGAGUGAUGAAGGCCUUAGGGUUGUAAAGCUCUUUCACCGGAGAAGAUAAUGACGGUAUCCGGAGAAGAAGCCCCGGCUAACUUCGUGCCAGCCGCCGCGGUAA